Molecule: ribosomal RNA, 414 nt
Filed under: Serratia marcescens
Lineage: Bacteria; Pseudomonadati; Pseudomonadota; Gammaproteobacteria; Enterobacterales; Yersiniaceae
Description: bacterial SSU rRNA
Rfam family: Bacterial small subunit ribosomal RNA
Source: RNAcentral
GGGUGAGUAAUGUCUGGGAAAUUGCCUGAUGGAGGGGGAUAACUACUGGAAACGGUAGCUAAUACCGCAUAACGUCGCAAGACCAAAGAGGGGGACCUUCGGGCCUCUUGCCAUCAGAUGUGCCCAGAUGGGAUUAGCUAGUAGGUGGGGUAAUGGCUCACCUAGGCGACGAUCCCUAGCUGGUCUGAGAGGAUGACCAGCCACACUGGAACUGAGACACGGUCCAGACUCCUACGGGAGGCAGCAGUGGGGAAUAUUGCACAAUGGGCGCAAGCCUGAUGCAGCCAUGCCGCGUGUGUGAAGAAGGCCUUCGGGUUGUAAAGCACUCUCAGCGAGGAGGAAGGUGGUGAGCUUAAUACGCUCAUCAAUUGACGUUACUCGCAGAAGAAGCACCGGCUAACUCCGUGCCAGCAG